This 253-nucleotide unclassified non-coding RNA is filed under the name uncultured Verrucomicrobiota bacterium. Its description in RNAcentral is "uncultured Verrucomicrobia bacterium contains 16S-23S intergenic spacer region". It matches the Rfam family "Bacterial small subunit ribosomal RNA", at positions 524 to 776 of the family's 1533-position model. The record is from RNAcentral. Lineage: Bacteria; Pseudomonadati; Verrucomicrobiota.
UACAGAGGUCUCAAGCGUUGUUCGGAUUCAUUGGGCGUAAAGGGUGCGCAGGCUGCGUGGUAAGUCGAAUGUGAAAUUUAGGGGCUCAACCCCUAAACUGCAUCUGAUACUGCCAUGCUAGAGGACUGUAGAGGAGAUUGGAAUUCACGGUGUAGCAGUGAAAUGCGUAGAUAUCGUGAGGAAGACCAGUGGCGAAGGCGAAUCUCUGGGCAGGUCCUGACGCUCAUGCACGAAGGCUAGGGGAGCAAACGGG